Molecule: ribosomal RNA, 382 nt
Filed under: Boana boans group sp. ABGD cluster 15
Lineage: Eukaryota; Metazoa; Chordata; Amphibia; Anura; Hylidae
Description: partial large subunit ribosomal RNA
Rfam family: Archaeal large subunit ribosomal RNA
Source: RNAcentral
UGAAAUUAUUCAACGGCCGCGGUAUCCUAACCGUGCGAAGGUAGCGUAAUCACUUGUUCUUUAAAUGAGGACUAGUAUGAAUGGCACCACGAGGGUUCUACUGUCUCCUUUUUUUAAUCAGUGAAACUAAUCUCCCCGUGAAGAAGCGGGGAUCUUUAUAUAAGACGAGAAGACCCUAUGGAGCUUUAAACAACCAACAUUUGCUACACCAUAACAUUUUCCCUAAAAGAAGUAUAGCAUUAUGAUUAUUAGUUUUCGAUUGGGGUGAUCACGGAGUAAAAUAUAACCUCCAUGCCGAAAGGGUUCUUACCCUGAGCAAAAAGCCACAGCUUUAAGCACUAAAAAAUUAACGCAGUUUGACCCAAUAUUUUGAUCAACGAAC